RNAcentral lists this ribosomal RNA (500 nucleotides) under Thalassiosira minuscula. RNAcentral describes it as "partial Bacterial large subunit ribosomal RNA". It matches the Rfam family "Bacterial large subunit ribosomal RNA", at positions 205 to 703 of the family's 2925-position model. The record is from RNAcentral. Lineage: Eukaryota; Bacillariophyta; Thalassiosirophyceae; Thalassiosirales; Thalassiosiraceae.
AGUACCCGGAGGAAGAGAAAACAAUAGUGAUUCCCUGAGUAGUGGCGAGCGAAAAGGGAUUAGCCCAAACCUUGACUGUUACGGCAGUUGAGGGGUUGUAGGACUGAGACAUCUGAUAUAAACAGAACGAGAAUUAUCUGGGAAGGUAAGCCAAAGAGGGUGAGAGCCCCGUAUUGGUAAUGUUUAUUGAGGUAUCAGUAUCCUGAGUAGGGCGGAACAGGAGAAAUUCCGUCUGAACCAGCCGGCACCAUCCGGUAAGGCUAAAUACUCCUGAGAGACCGAUAGUGGACAAGUACCGUGAGGGAAAGGUGAAAAGUACCCUGAAUAAGGGGGUGAAAAGAACCUGAAACCAUGCGCUUACAAGCGGUCGGAGGUUCCGUAGUGGACUGACGGCGUGCCUUUUGCAUAAUGAGCCUACGAGUUACUCUUCACUGGCGAGGUUAAGGCAUUAGAGUGCUGUAGCCGGAGCGAAAGCGAGUCUGAAUAGGGCGCAUAGUCAG